AAGGGAAAAUUAGCGCCAGGGCUUCGGGGAUUCCCCUAGCUGACGAGGUAAACAGUUAUCGAAAGAUUCGGCGGAUGCUGUUUCGGAGUAGUGCAUCGUAAAAGAAAGAAAAAAAGCGAAAUCAAGAUCGUAACAAAAGCUUUCUUCGCACAAUAA
Molecule: non-coding RNA, 156 nt
Organism: Lachnoanaerobaculum sp. ICM7
Lineage: Bacteria; Bacillati; Bacillota; Clostridia; Lachnospirales; Lachnospiraceae
Source: Rfam